Molecule: non-coding RNA, 1504 nt
Organism: Dermacentor andersoni
Lineage: Eukaryota; Metazoa; Arthropoda; Arachnida; Ixodida; Ixodidae
Source: RefSeq, a predicted model, not a curated record
ACACAGAACCUCUUAAAAACUUCUUGAAACGGCUACAAACGGCUAUAGACGUCUUGGUCUAUGAUAAGACAGAAAAUAGAAUUUUUUCUAAACAUGACCUCAGCACUUGCAAUAUGCUAGUAUAUAUUCUAUCUGCGGCAAAACCCACUACUGGUGUCACUAGAGUCUGUUUUGGUAAACACAUUCAGAAUGUCUAACUCACGAACUUUUCUAGAUCUUUUUGUCUAAAAGUGCAUAAAAUGCCAAACGACGUGUUAAAAGUGCGGUUACCGUCGGCCGUUGGCGUUAGCGAAUAAAAGACGCCACAGACAAAUCGAACUCGUUGGAAGCAACAUAAGUUAAUUGGCUUUAAUAUUAAAUAAUUUCACACCAGAACUUCAAAAAUCAAGGGCGUGUUAUUGUUUUCCAUACGGGGCGCGCACACGACGCCUGGAAACCAUUCUGUGCUCGCGCCGCAGGUAUACUGACAGCAGCAGGAGCGAAACGCCGGCGUUGCACAGCGAUGUGACAGAGCCACCGCACUGCGAUCACUUCGGCGGCACAAUCCAAAUUUGUCGGACAUCUUAUUCUGUACUGGAAACACUGGGAGGCAGGAAGUUUGAAAAAACGGCCACUGCCGCCCGCAAGAUCUCGCUGUCUCGGUCGUGGGUUCGUUAUUCAGUUGUGUGUCAUUCUAAGCCGUUAUGUACAUUUAUACUGGAUAUUAACUGGAGUCAUUUAGCUGUGCUGAUGCUGUUUGCCCUGUGUUUUGCAUCAGUGCUUCGUGACAUCAGCUGUAUUGCGUGUUUUCGCCGACGGCUUACUACCACAAUGGCGGGAUCUGCGUUCGCCGCCUUCGUGUCUCGGUGCGUCUUUGUACGUCGCACGUUCGGAUAACACUUUUUCCGACGGCUGGACAUCCUUCUUGUACCUUGGCGCUAGCUGGAUGACGGGACCUCAUCAUGAUCAGUACUGCUUGCCUAUGUCUACAAGAACCGUCACGCAUGGCCUGUGACAGCAAGCUUUUGUGGGCAGCAAGUGCUCUCCUACGAAGGCUGGCCUACUCUGGCAGCGGCGGCAAUCAUCUUCAAGAUUCAUCCAUGAUCACCUUUGCUGCUAUUUGUCACUCUUGUUAAUUGCACUUUCUGCAUCUUCUCUAAUUUAUUAGGUAAUAAAGUAUGAGUAUGUGACAUGGUGUGAAGUAGAUGUCUUGCUGCAUUUUCACUUGCAAUCAUCUUUUAUGCAUGAAAAGCUCAUCGUACAGUUUAUGAAAAAAAUAACAGCAUAUUUUGAUUUAUCUUUCAGUUCUGGUAACAUGCAACGUGCAAGCAAUUCACUAAUGGAUGGUAUGCCGACGAACUGGCCAUUAUUUCGGUGUGAUGCUGUGCAAGCAUGCGGCGUUACCUUACAAGAGGCACCCACAAAGUAAGUUACAAUUUACUUUUAAAUGAAGCAUGGACAUCAGAAAAAAUAUAUUUAUAUUGCUAGUUAGAGUGGUUCGCAGGGUGUUUUUCCAGAUGUACUA